GUAGGAGUGGCUGAGCGGUCGAAAGCGCCGGAUUGUAGCUCCGGUAUUCCACACGGUGGUUCGAAUCCAUCCUCCUACA
Molecule: transfer RNA, 79 nt
Filed under: Leptospira langatensis
Lineage: Bacteria; Pseudomonadati; Spirochaetota; Leptospiria; Leptospirales; Leptospiraceae
Description: tRNA-Tyr
Rfam family: tRNA
About the family: Transfer RNA (tRNA) molecules are approximately 80 nucleotides in length. Their secondary structure includes four short double-helical elements and three loops (D, anti-codon, and T loops).
Source: RNAcentral